GCUUACGGCCAUACCACCCUGAAUACGUCCAAUCUCGUCCGAUCUUGGAAGCCAAGCAGAGUCGGGCCUGGUUAGUACUUGGAUGGGAGACCGCCUGGGAAUACCAGGUGCUGUAAGCU
Scleropages formosus (Asian bonytongue) is the source of this 119-nucleotide ribosomal RNA. Lineage: Eukaryota; Metazoa; Chordata; Actinopteri; Osteoglossiformes; Osteoglossidae. The record is from Ensembl.